CAGUAGCCGCGGGAACACGUAGGGUGCGAGCGUUAAUCGGAAUUGCUGGGCGUAAAGCGUGCGCAGGCGGUUGUGUAAGACAGGUGUGAAAUCCCCGGGCUUAACCUGGGAACUGCGCUUGUGACUGCACAGCUAGAGUAUGGCAGAGGGGGGUGGAAUUCCACGUGUAGCAGUGAAAUGCGUAGAGAUGUGGAGGAACACCGAUGGCGAAGGCAGCCCCCUGGGCCAAUACUGACGCUCAUGCACGAAAGCGUGGGGAGCAAACAGGAUUAGAUACCCCAGUAGUCCCUGUCUCUUAUAC
Molecule: ribosomal RNA, 301 nt
Filed under: uncultured bacterium
Lineage: Bacteria
Description: partial 16S ribosomal RNA
Rfam family: Bacterial small subunit ribosomal RNA
Source: RNAcentral